Molecule: ribosomal RNA, 404 nt
Filed under: uncultured bacterium
Lineage: Bacteria
Also listed under: 2 other names
Description: bacterial SSU rRNA
Rfam family: Bacterial small subunit ribosomal RNA
Source: RNAcentral
UGGGGAAUAUUGCGCAAUGGGGGAAACCCUGACGCAGCAACGCCGCGUGGAGGAAGAAGGUCUUCGGAUUGUAAACUCCUGUCUUCUGGGACGAUAAUGACGGUACCAGAGGAGGAAGCCACGGCUAACUACGUGCCAGCAGCCGCGGUAAUACGUAGGUGGCGAGCGUUGUCCGGAAUUACUGGGCGUAAAGGGCGCGUAGGCGGCUCUUUAAGUCAGAUGUGAAAACCCAGGGCUUAACUUUGGGACUGCAUUUGAAACUGAAGGGCUUGAGUGCAGGAGAGGUAAGUGGAAUUCCUAGUGUAGCGGUGAAAUGCGUAGAUAUUAGGAGGAACACCAGUGGCGAAGGCGACUUACUGGACUGUAACUGACGCUGAGGCGCGAAAGCGUGGGGAGCAAACAGG